This 301-nucleotide ribosomal RNA is filed under the name uncultured bacterium. RNAcentral's name for it is "partial 16S ribosomal RNA". It matches the Rfam family "Bacterial small subunit ribosomal RNA", at positions 509 to 807 of the family's 1533-position model. The record is from RNAcentral.
CAGUAGCCGCGGUAAUACGUAGGUGGCAAGCGUUGUCCGGAAUUAUUGGGCGUAAAGGGCUCGCAGGCGGUUUCUUAAGUCUGAUGUGAAAGCCCCCGGCUCAACCGGGGAGGGUCAUCGGAAACUGGGAAACUUGAGUGCAGAAGAGGAGAGUGGAAUUCCACGUGUAGCGGUGAAAUGCGUAGAGAUGUGGAGGAACACCAGUGGCGAAGGCGACUCUCUGGUCUGUAACUGACGCUGAGGAGCGAAAGCGUGGGGAGCGAACAGGAUUAGAGACCCCUGUAGUCCCUGUCUCUUAUAC